Molecule: non-coding RNA, 102 nt
Organism: Mycena epipterygia
Lineage: Eukaryota; Fungi; Basidiomycota; Agaricomycetes; Agaricales; Mycenaceae
Source: the annotation of a GenBank genome assembly
GGCCCAAUGGUCUAGAAGUAUGAUACACGCUUCGGGUUUAAUCCCGUGACUUUCGAGUCAUGUGACUGUGUGUGGUCCCGGGUUCAAUUCCCGGUUGGGCCC